GAUGAACGCUGGCGGCGUGCUUAACACAUGCAAGUCGAACGGAAAGGCCCAAGCUUGCUUGGGUACUCGAGUGGCGAACGGGUGAGUAACACGUGGGUGAUCUGCCCUGCACUUCGGGAUAAGCCUGGGAAACUGGGUCUAAUACCGGAUAGGACCACAUUUUGGAUGGUGUGGUGGAAAGUUUUUCGGUGUGGGAUGAGCUCGCGGCCUAUCAGCUUGUUGGUGGGGUAAUGGCCUACCAAGGCGUCGACGGGUAGCCGGCCUGAGAGGGUGUACGGCCACAUUGGGACUGAGAUACGGCCCAGACUCCUACGGGAGGCAGCAGUGGGGAAUAUUGCACAAUGGGCGCAAGCCUGAUGCAGCGACGCCGCGUGGGGGAUGACGGCCUUCGGGUUGUAAACUCCUUUCGCUAGGGACGAAGCGUUAUGUGACGGUACCUGGAGAAGAAGCACCGGCUAACUAUGUG
Molecule: ribosomal RNA, 466 nt
Filed under: uncultured bacterium
Lineage: Bacteria
Description: partial 16S ribosomal RNA
Rfam family: Bacterial small subunit ribosomal RNA
Source: RNAcentral